This 77-nucleotide transfer RNA is filed under the name Candidatus Saccharimonadota bacterium. RNAcentral's name for it is "tRNA-Arg". It matches the Rfam family "tRNA". Rfam says of the family: Transfer RNA (tRNA) molecules are approximately 80 nucleotides in length. Their secondary structure includes four short double-helical elements and three loops (D, anti-codon, and T loops). Lineage: Bacteria; Candidatus Saccharimonadota. The record is from RNAcentral. RNAcentral also lists the same sequence under 2 other names.
GCCCCCGUAGCUCAGUGGAUUAGAGCAUCUGUCUUCGGAACAGAGGGUCGGCGGUUCGAGUCCGUCCGGGGGUACCA